This is a long non-coding RNA of Lemur catta (Ring-tailed lemur), 3542 nucleotides long. RefSeq lists it as uncharacterized. The record is from RefSeq and is a predicted model, not a curated record. NCBI's taxonomy places the organism in Eukaryota, Metazoa, Chordata, Mammalia, Primates, Lemuridae. The transcript is spliced from 3 exons.
AAGACUACAGGUACACACCACCAUGCCUGGCUGAUCUUAUUUUUUGGAGACGGGUCUCAAACUCCUGACCUCAAUUGAACUUCCUGCCUCGGCCGUCCAAAGAGGUGGGAUUACAGAUGUGAGCCAUUGCGCCUGGCCACCUUCGCUCUUCAAUGGAAUGCUCCCGAAGUUUCACAAACAAGGCAAGCCUCCGACAGCACUAGAGGUCGUACGUGAUGCAGUAUGACACCAAAAUUAGAAGUAAAAAAAUUCAAAAGGGAAGAACCAGAUGGUUUGAUCAGCUAUGGUUGCUACCUUCAGAAUAAUCAAAGGCACAGUACGAAAAGCAGAACCUAAAGACUUCUAGAAGAACAUACAGAAAAAACAUCCUCACAACUUUGGGGUUUGGAAGGGACCAUCACCAAAACAAGGGCCUUCUGCGUGGACUGCAGCACUGACUCGUGGAACUGGUGUGCAAACUCUUCCGCCAUGAAGGGCUCCCACGGCUUGCUCUUCCCAUUGAAGCUGUGAGACAACGGCACAGGAAUGUCCUUGGGCGCAGUGCCCCGGAUGUAAUGAAGCAUGCUCAGGCUCUUCUUGCCCCCGGGGGCCUCGCUCAGCCUGGCCUUCUCACCACUGGCAGGAGCUGGCUCCUGGACUCUCGAGAGCUCCUGGGGCCGGAACUGUUCAAGUUUCCCAGGCUCCACAGCCUUUGGGACAUCAGACAAGGAAGUGGCAACAGCGACAGGCUUAUCCAUGUCCAGAGAAGCUUGCUGCGUGGCUGGUUCUUUCAGAGACAGAAAGCAAAGGAAAACGUUAAACGCUGCAAGUUAACGGGCUAAGUGUCCAGCACACGGACCCUGAUCCCUACAGCUUACGUUUAACAAAGACCUAGCGCAAAGAACCAAGACUCAGGGGACAUUUAAUUAACCAUUGUGCACGCAGCUACGGUCUGAAGAUAGUGGUGUGUUUAGCAGCCAGUCCAUCCUUGAAAAGUGCCCCGAGAAGGCACCUGGAAAGAAAGAUCUGAAGGAAGAAGCAAGUGGCUUCAAGACAUCAAAACAGUCUGGAGGUGUUUAGUCCAGCUGGGCCAGAAAGAGCACGUGGGAGCAGGGCUGGACCGUGGAGACUCCCUGCUUCCUCUGGCAGGGCGGAGAGGCGUGAUCGGAGGCGUAAGGAGAGAGGAGUGAAAGCAGGUGCUGACAAGGCCCGGAAGGAAGAAGGAGUGAGACACAGAUGCAGGAAGGAGAGAGCCAGGGCAGGCCAGCGCUGGGACGAGGUCGCAGCACUCAGGCUGGAGUAGGUCCUCCUUCCCGGGACAGUGCCUCAGUGGCGCCAGCAGCCUCGCCCUCCUCGCCUGGGCUGGCCUUCUAACAAGCCUUGGUGCCGCAGCAGAGGGACGAUGACUAUGACCACCUGACAGAGCUCUGCAGACGCUAGGACCCUCCCCUCAAUCCUGAGCCUGCCUCUUGGGUCCCAAGGACCAUCCCAGCUGUGUGGGAAGCGUACGCUUGUGUGAGGGACAGAAAGAAACAGUCUCGAGGAGGUCAGGUUCAUGAAGACGAAGGCCUUGAACAGCUGCCUCUGACCCCAGGCAGCCCACAGGACCGUCCCAGGUGUGCUGGCCUUCCCUUACCACUCAGGGAGACGGCAGGACUGUCCCUCGGAGAGUUUGUCAAGGAGUCUGCCAUUGCUGCGGACAGUGCCUUCUGCUUCAUGGCACGGAGCAUUUCAACAAGUCUCUCUUUGUCUAUGAGAAAAGCAGCCUGAGAUUAACGAGGCGGUCGUAUCAUUUUGAGAGGGAAGGACAGUAGGAGUCUAGCCUAGUCCUGACAGGCAGGUACAAGCACUUUAAACCACGAAAAACCAAAAGCAAGUGCCACGGGACAGGCCGUGUUUAAAGGAGGAAAGCUUCAUUUUAAAGCGAGCUCAGAUUCCUCUUGGCAUUUACUACACGAUGGUUUGGGUGUGUUCCAAGAUAGCUGUGUGUGCAGUGAUCACAGGUCUACGCGAUACCGUGUACCCAGGGUCUUCUGUAGUGACUUCGAAGGAGGUGUUCUUAUUUACGACAACGGCAGCCCGACACAAGGACACACCCAAAUGUCCACACUGGCCUCUGAGGCUCAGCACAUCCCCCUCCCCCACUCCUGGUGCUCCAGUGCUAGUCCACGAGCGAUGCCGUUUCCUAUAAAAGAAGGAGGAUCCCAAGACGUUCGGCGGAGUGAAUUCCUGUUGCGGUGGCACUUCUUGAUGACUCUGAAACUUAAGCAGCCACAGUGUCUAUGGCUUCCUCUGCAAAAGCCAUCUUUUUGCCUGGCUGAAUUUGUAAACAAAACUGCACAUUUCUAGGAUUUGUGCUAGCAAUCAACAUGUCACUAACCCUCAAAGGGAAAGUGAAAACUUCAACUUAGUGGUUAAAGAAAAAUAAACUGCUAUACUCUAAUUAAAAAACAAAAACAAAAACAAAACACGUUGAAGCAACCGAAGGACCCAGAAGUACCUUCUGUUCUCCUUCGACUCUCCCAGGGAGGAGGCCAGGGGUCUGCACGGGACCCAGAGGCAGGAGAAGGAGCACAGCCAGGAACGUCACCAUCUUGGCCCCAAGCGGGCGUGGGCCGGGUGGACAAAGGAAGCAGAAACCCCGAGGAAGAGGUGCAGGAGCACCGUUUCUUCUGCUGUGUGGAUUCUAGCCCUAAGGGCCCGCCCCAACACAGCCCUGGGUGGCCAGACCGAUCUGGAAGCAUCCAUUCAUAGCACAUGCUGGUCUGCCUGGCUGCUACAGGCCAUGCCCACACCUCCCUCCUGCCAUCGGCACGCAAAGCCGAGUGGCCCAGCAGAAGAAAAGGCUGGGCCGGGCACCCCUGGAGCGCCCAGCACCUCCCCUCACUCCCAGGUGGAGUUACCGAAACAUCUGCUCAGAACUGCGCCUGUCAGGCGCUAGAAAAUGGAUAAAAGACAAGGGCAGCUGUCAGCUCAAGCUGGGCUUCACACGCGGAAAGAAAACCACUGAGUCUUCACGGCUGCCCAGGACGCAACCGGAGCAAAUGGGCUCCAAACAGGGUGAGGUCAAAGCCCCGGGGGCAGGUCUGCGGGAGCAGACAGGUGGCCUCGGGACUGAGUGUUCCCAGACCCUGCCUGGCGUCCAUGGGCCCCGCCAGCUGCUUGAGAAGCACACAGCCACCCCAGCCAGCCCCUCCUGCCCAGGUGAGGUCCUACCUUUCCUCUUCUCGGCGCUGAUGUGGGUAAGGUUGAAGAUGGUCAGGAACUUCUUCUUCUCUUCGAAGUUCGGGCUGUUGUUCAUCUCGUCGGGGCUGUAGCGGGUGGACAGCGCCAGUCUUGGCGAAGGUGUCUGCCGCUUGCUCUGAAUCGCCGGAGGCGACGGGCUUCGCUCUCUCAGCAUCCGCCGCCGCUUCCUCCGCUUCUGGGCCACCAAUUCCUCCUUCUGCUGUUGGGUGGUCAAGCCAAAAAGUUGCAAAAACUCUAGCUUCUAGAUUGGGAAAGAAAACAAAUGAGUUUGAAGCCACCGACAGUGGUUGUGUUUUCACUGUCCUGGGGCCCUUGAA